AGCAGCCGCGGUAAUUCCAGCUCCAAUAGCGUAUAUUAAAGUUGUUGCAGUUAAAAAGCUCGUAGUUGAAUUUCGGAGUUUGUCGGUUGGUCGGGCUUCACUGUCCGCACUGGCCUGAUGGAUUCCUACCUUCUGAAUAACCAGCAUGCUAUUAAGUUAGUGCGUUGGGGAAGCAGAGCUAUUACCUUAAAAAAAUUAGAGUGCUUAAAGCAGGCUUUUGCUUGAAUAGAUUAGCAUGGAAUAAUAAAAUAGGACGGCAUGGUUCUAUUUUGUUGGUUUCUAGGAUCACCGUAAUGAUUAAUAGGGAUAGUUGGGGGCAUUAGUAUUCAAUUGUCAGAGGUGAAAUUCUUGGAUUUAUUGAAGACUAACUUCUGCGAAAGCAUUUGCCAAGGAUGUUUUCAUUAAUCAAGAACGAAAGUUAGGGGAUCGAAGACGAUCAGAUACCGUCGUAGUCUUAACCAUAAACUAUGCCGACUAGGGAUCGGACGAUGUAAUUUUUAAUGACUCAUUCGGCGUCCG
This 519-nucleotide ribosomal RNA is filed under the name uncultured Acaulospora. RNAcentral's name for it is "SSU rRNA". It matches the Rfam family "Eukaryotic small subunit ribosomal RNA", at positions 569 to 1089 of the family's 1831-position model. The record is from RNAcentral. Lineage: Eukaryota; Fungi; Glomeromycota; Glomeromycetes; Diversisporales; Acaulosporaceae.